Long non-coding RNA from Orcinus orca (killer whale), 1949 nucleotides. RefSeq lists it as uncharacterized. NCBI's taxonomy places the organism in Eukaryota, Metazoa, Chordata, Mammalia, Artiodactyla, Delphinidae. The record is from RefSeq and is a predicted model, not a curated record. The transcript is spliced from 2 exons.
UUAGGUGAACUCUUAAAACCAGGCUCCAGUAAUAUCUUACUUUUGCUUAAAAAAAAAAAAAGUGAGCUGUAGGUAUAUAUUUUUAUCUUUAAGAGGAAAAAAAUAGUUAUUUUGGGACAAAAUUGCUCAUUCCUUGUAACUUUGCUGUAAACUUUCAGGUUUGAUCUCCCUUACCCAUUGAAUUUUCAAAGAUUUUGAUCGGAACUAUUAAAGGCUAAAAGAAGAGAAACUUUAAAUAGGUCCAUACUUUCACAAAUGUCUUUUAGUAAAUUGGUUGCUUUUUAUUACUGAAAGAUAUAUUUCAUACCUAUGUUUUCCACUCAUCAUAAAAAAAUUUUAAUCUUGAAUUUGACAUUUCUUACCCACCUAGAUCGAGUCACAAAGAAUGCAUUAUAGAUAGUAAAAUCGAAAUCACAGAAGACUUACCUUUCAGUAGCCGUUGCUAUGAAACCAUGUUUUGAUGGGAAAUUUUAGAGAAGCUUGUGCUUCCUGUUGUUAAAUGAUAGAAUAUGGAGAUCCCCUUAAUUUUUAAAAUUGCCCUUUUUAAAAAGCAAGUAACCUCAAUUAUUCCUUCUAGUGGGACACUCUUUGCUCUUACCCUACCUUACCCACCCAGGACUGCUAAUUAGGUUUAAUUUUAUCUUUGCUUCCUCUCCUAUUCCUUGUGCAUUGAAUGGGCAGAUGGGCAGAGUUUAUGAGAGAUGUUUUAUGUGCAAUUACAAGGUUGUGUUGCUAUUAUUUAUUUUACCUAGGACACUAGGAUGCUCAAGAUACAGAAAGAAUCAAAAAUAUGGUAACUUACGAGCAAGAGAGCUUCCAUAAAAUGGGAAGUUAGAAAAGUGCCUCUUUGUUGUUGUGAAUCUAGAAAAAGACCACAAUGACCUCUGGUUCCUGAAAAAGAGAAAAAUUUUGUUUAAUUUUGUUUCCUCCAGGCAGUGUGAUCUGGUGGAGAGAGCUUGGGAUUCCAAGUCAGAAAACAAGUCAAAAGGCAAGAGGUGGAGGGAGAGUAAUCUGCUGGUCUGACUAAAGCAGAGGACUGUGAAGCAGAGAGCGUGGAAAGGCGGGAGGAGAUUAGGGAAGGGAGUGAGCUGAAUGCAAAACUGGGCACCUUGGACUUGAUUUGCCAGGCAGUGGAAAAGCAGAACAUAUUCCUAACAAAGGAAGCGGCACUGGGAUAGUUGAGAAAGUUACUCUGGGAGUCGUGUAUAGUUACUCAGGGGUUGGCACCAGAUUCCUCAGAUGGCACCGCGUAUGAUCCAUUUGUCAUCUAUUGACACAUAGCCCCCAAUCCAGAUUUACAUCAAAGCAGGCUUCCCAGGGGAGACGAUGUAUAUACGCUGACACCUUCUGCGUUUGAUAUCCAAGUUGGUGCAGAACGUGGAAUGGGCCGCCCAAUAAAAUUUGUAAAACUCAUACAAUCUUGGCGACAUAAUCACUCAUUGAGCAUUACAGAAAACAAUUCAAAUAUCUUUGGAAUGGUGGUAGAUGGACAUGCUUUUAGUAAAACUUCGAUAUGGUGUAGGGUCGGAAUGGAGACCCCCUGGCUGAGGGCUGCUCUCUUCGUACUGCGUUGGUGGGAUGUGUGUGUAGGGCUAGCCUGGAACCGUCCUGAGAACAGGCACCUCGUCAGAUUCAUCUCUGCACAUCUGACACGCAGGAGAGUGCCUCACCUUCGUGGGAAACCAGCCCACAGAUUCUGCGAUCUCAGCAGAUGGCAGUAAUGUGGUUUCUUUUGCGGUACGCGGGCCUCUCACUGUUGUGGCCUCUCCCGUUGCGGAGCACAGGCUCCGGACGCACAGGCUCAGCGGCCGUGGCUCACGGGCCCAGCCGCUCUGCGGCAUGUGGGAUCCUCCCGGACCGGGGCACGAACCUGUGUCCCCUGCAUCGGCAGGUGGACUCUCAACCACUGCGCCACCAGGGAAGCCCUUUUUUUUUUUUUUUUAAAUUUU